RNAcentral lists this ribosomal RNA (1392 nucleotides) under uncultured bacterium. RNAcentral describes it as "16S ribosomal RNA". It matches the Rfam family "Bacterial small subunit ribosomal RNA". The record is from RNAcentral.
UUAGAGUUUGAUCCUGGCUCAGGAUGCUUGCUGGCGGCGUGCUUAACACAUGCAAGUCGAACGAGCGGAAGGCCUUCGGGCGUGAAGCGAGUGGCGGACGGGUGAGUAACGCGUGGGUAACCUGCCUCAUACAGGGGGAUAACGAUUGGAAACGAUCGCUAAUACCGUAUAAGUGCACAGUACCGCAUGGUACAGUGUAAAAAGCUCCGGCGGUAUGAGAUGGACCCGCGUUAGAUUAGCCAGUUGGCGGGGUAACGGCCCACCAAAGCGACGAUCUAUAGCCGGCCUGAGAGGGCGACCGGCCACAUUGGAACUGAGACACGGUCCAGACUCCUACGGGAGGCAGCAGUGAGGAAUAUUGGUCAAUGGGCGGAAGCCUGAACCAGCCAUGCCGCGUGCAGGAAUAAGGCCCUAUGGGUCGUAAACUGCUUUUGUAGCGGAGCAAUAAGGACUACGUGUAGUCCGAUGAGAGUACAUUACGAAUAAGCAUCGGCUAACUCCGUGCCAGCAGCCGCGGUAAUACGGAGGAUGCAAGCGUUAUCCGGAUUUAUUGGGUUUAAAGGGUGCGUAGGCUGUUUUUCAAGUCAGAGGUGAAAUCCCGGAGCUUAACUCUGGAACUGCCUUUGAUACUGGGAGGCUUGAAUACGGAUGCCGUGGGAGGAAUGAGUAGUGUAGCGGUGAAAUGCAUAGAUAUUACACAGAACACCGAUUGCGAAGGCAUCUCACGAAGCGGUGAUUGACGCUGAUGCACGAAAGUGCGGGGAUCAAACAGGAUUAGAUACCCUGGUAGUCCGCACAGUAAACUAUGAUAACCAGCUGUCGGCGAUAGAAUGUCGGUGGCCAAGCGAAAGCGAUAAGUUAUCCACCUGGGGAGUACGACCGCAAGGUUGAAACUCAAAGGAAUUGACGGGGGCCCGCACAAGCGGAGGAACAUGUGGUUUAAUUCGAUGAUACGCGAGGAACCUUACCCGGGCUCGAACGGUACCGGACGACUUCAGAGAUGGAGUUUCCCUUCGGGGCUGGUAUCGAGGUGCUGCAUGGUUGUCGUCAGCUCGUGCCGUGAGGUGUCGGCUUAAGUGCCAUAACGAGCGCAACCCUUGUUGACAGUUGCCAUCAGGUAAAGCUGGGGACUCUGUCGAGACUGCCACCGUAAGGUGUGAGGAAGGGGGGGAUGACGUCAAAUCAGCACGGCCCUUAUGUCCGGGGCGACACACGUGUUACAAUGGUGACUACAGAGGGAAGCUACCUGGCGACAGGAUGCGAAUCUCGAAAAGUCAUCCCAGUUCGGAUCGGAGUCUGCAACUCGACUCCGUGAAGUUGGAUUCGCUAGUAAUCGCGCAUCAGCCAUGGCGCGGUGAAUACGUUCCCGGGCCUUGCACACACCGCCCGUCA